This 177-nucleotide small RNA is filed under the name Sinorhizobium meliloti 2011. RNAcentral describes it as "putative ncRNA". The record is from RNAcentral. Lineage: Bacteria; Pseudomonadati; Pseudomonadota; Alphaproteobacteria; Hyphomicrobiales; Rhizobiaceae.
AGCGAGGCCGAGACCGGUGCCCUUAUCCCGCAUCGUCAUGUACGGCUCCAGAAUUCGGUGCCGGUUCUCGGUCGGAAGCCCCUUGCCGUUGUCGAUGACGUCGACCACGAAGCGGCCGGUGGUAUCAUCGCGACGGGAUCGGAUGACGACUGUGGGCGCGCCUCGUGACGUUCCCGC